AACUGCUCCUCAACCACCCAACCUGAUCUCCUUCUAUUCAUGAUCCAAACACCAAUCAAGCAUCCAAUCCAAUCAUCACAUUCAUACAAAUAGAGUUCUAUUAGAACAGUACACCAAUCAAUAAAAACAGUGACUGAAAGGUAUAUAAAUCUGUUCUACACAUUCCAACGAACACAUGAGCGAAAGAAUCACUCUAAUUGGACUUAAAACUUGAAAGUUAUGCAUAAAACAUAUUGAAUGGCAUUUAUGUGAAUAAACUAAAUGAAAAACAAAUUUAAAAGAAUUAAAACUAAAUUUCUAACAGUCCUAGACUGCGUGCACUAUUAUAUAAAAGUACAGGGU
This 342-nucleotide long non-coding RNA is filed under the name Sorghum bicolor (sorghum). Its description in RNAcentral is "long non-coding RNA (SBIC_LNC008468)". The record is from RNAcentral. Lineage: Eukaryota; Viridiplantae; Streptophyta; Magnoliopsida; Poales; Poaceae.